GUUCAUUUUGAUACAGUGGGUUUUUCAUUUGUAAAGGUUAGUAGAUUGUCCGUGUUGGUAGAGCUAUAGAGGAGCUACUAGAUUUAAAACCUUACCAUUGUAAAACAACACAUUUCAACUGUUAGGGCUUCGUGAAAAGACAAACCAAUCCUGUAAAAUACAUUGUAGAAUGAGAUCCCGUUUUGUAAGAGUGUUUACAUGAUUGUAGGGUUUGGAUUCCUUUGACAUUCUCUCUGUUAGCGUCUACGUUGUUUCCUAGCUACUGGGGUUAGGAUUAGGAACGGGGUUAAAGUUAAGGACUGGGCAAGUGUUAGGGUUAGGAUUAGGUUAGGAUUAUGGUUAAGGUUGGGAUUAGGUUAGGAUUAGGGUUAAGGUUGGGGUUAAGGUUAGGUUAGGAUUGGGGUUAAGGUUGGGGUUAAGGUUGGGAUUAGGUUAGGAUUAGGGUUAAGGUUGGGGUUAAGGUUAGGUUAGGAUUAGGUUAGGAUUAGGGUUAAGGUUGGGAUUAGGUUAGGAUUAGGGUUAGGGUUAAGGUUGGGGUUAGGUUAGGUUAGGAUUGGGGUUAAAGUUAAGGACUGGGCAAGUGUUAGGGUUAGGAUUAGGUUAGGAUUAUGGUUAAGGUUGGGAUUAGGUUAGGAUUAGGGUUAAGGUUGGGGUUAAGGUUAGGUUAGGAUUAGGUUAGGAUUAGGGUUAAGGUUGGGAUUAGGUUAGGAUUAGGUUAGGGUUAAGGUUGGGGUUAGGUUAGGUUAGGAUUGGGGUUAAAGUUAAGGACUGGGCAAGUGUUAGGGUUAGGAUUAGGUUAGGAUUAGGGUUAGGAUUAAGGUUGGGUUAGGUUAGGUUAGGAUUGGGGUUAAAGUUAAGGACUGGGCAAGUGUUAGGGUUAGGAUUAGGUUAGGAUUAGGGUUAAAUUUGGGGUUAGGUUAGGUUAGGAUUGGGAUUAAAGUUAAGGACUGGGCAAGUGUUAGGGUUAGGAUUAGGGUUAAGGUUGGGAUUAGGUUAGGAUUAGGGUUAAGGUUGAGGUUAAGGCUGAAGCUCAGGGUUAGGAUUAAGGUUAUGGUUGGGGAGGUGGGGGUAAAAUGGGGUAUUAGAAAGGCACCGAAAGGUUGCAAGAUCGAGUC
Oncorhynchus tshawytscha (Chinook salmon) is the source of this 1115-nucleotide long non-coding RNA. NCBI's taxonomy places the organism in Eukaryota, Metazoa, Chordata, Actinopteri, Salmoniformes, Salmonidae. The record is from Ensembl.